GAUGAACGCUAGCGGCAGGCCUAAUACAUGCAAGCCGAACGGCAAGUUUGAUAGCAAUAUUAGACCUAGAGUGGCGCAAGGGUGCGUAACACGUAUGCAACCUGCCCGCGACAGGAGGAUAGCUCCCCGAAAGGGGAAUUAACCCUCCAUAACACCAUGAGAAGGCAUCUGAUUAUGGUUAAACCGCACGGGGUCGCGGAUGGGCAUGCGGUUGAUUAGCUAGUUGGCGGGGUAAAGGCCCACCAAGGCGGUGAUCAAUAGGGGUUCUGAGAGGAAGGUCCCCCACACUGGCACAGAGAUACGGGCCAGACUCCUACGGGAGGCAGCAGUAGUGAAUAUUGGACAAUGGGUGCAAGACUGAUCCAGCGAUGCCGCGUGCAGGAAGAAGGCCUUCUGAGUCGUAAACUGCUUUUUCCAGUGGAUAAAAGACCCGUGCGCGGGGAAUUGAAGGUAACAGGAGAAUAAGCCACGGCUAACUACGUG
This 483-nucleotide ribosomal RNA is filed under the name uncultured bacterium. Its description in RNAcentral is "partial 16S ribosomal RNA". It matches the Rfam family "Bacterial small subunit ribosomal RNA", at positions 28 to 507 of the family's 1533-position model. The record is from RNAcentral.